RNAcentral lists this ribosomal RNA (491 nucleotides) under Starmerella bacillaris. Its description in RNAcentral is "eukaryotic LSU rRNA". It matches the Rfam family "Eukaryotic large subunit ribosomal RNA", at positions 76 to 664 of the family's 3401-position model. The record is from RNAcentral. Lineage: Eukaryota; Fungi; Ascomycota; Dipodascomycetes; Dipodascales; Trichomonascaceae.
UGCCUAGUAACGGCGAGUGAACAGGCAAGAGCUCAGAUUUGAAAGGCACUUUUGUGCCGUUGUAUUCUGAAGUUAGGGUCCUGAGAAACGAUGCUUAAGUCUUCUGGAAAGGAGCGCCAUGGAGGGUGAUAGCCCCGUCUAGCAUUGACCUCAUAUAGGAUCUUAACAUGGAGUCGAGUUGUUUGGGAAUGCAGCUCAAAUGGGUGGUAUGCUCCAUCUAAAGCUAAAUAUCUGCGAGAGACCGAUAGUAAACAAGUACUGUGAGGGAAAGAUGAAAAGAACUUUGAAAAGAGAGUGAAAAAGUACGUGAAAUUGUUGAAAUGGAAGGGUAGGCCGCUAACCAUGUAGAGCCGUGUUUGGGGGGAAGAUAAAUGCUGUAGAAUGUAGCUCCUCGGAGUAUUAUAGAUGCAGUUCAUAUUCCCACCCGAGCGCGAGGAUCUCAGGUUCUACUAAAUGGUGGUCUACCACCCGUCUUGAAACACGGACCAUUU